GUGGAGCUUGCUCUGGGGGAUUAGUGGCGAACGGGUGAGUAACACGUGAGUAACCUGCCCUGGACUCUGGGAUAAGCGUUGGAAACGACGUCUAAUACCGGAUAGGACCUCGGAUCGCAUGAUCUGGGGUGGAAAGUUUUUUCGGUCUGGGAUGGACUCGCGGCCUAUCAGCUUGUUGGUGAGGUAACGGCUCACCAAGGCGUCGACGGGUAGCCGGCCUGAGAGGGUGACCGGCCACACUGGGACUGAGACACGGCCCAGACUCCUACGGGAGGCAGCAGUGGGGAAUAUUGCACAAUGGGCGAAAGCCUGAUGCAGCAACGCCGCGUGCGGGAUGACGGCCUUCGGGUUGUAAACCGCUUUUAGUAGGGAAGAAGGGCUUCGGCUUGACGGUACCUGCAGAAAAAGGACCGGCUAACUACGUGCCAGCAGCCGCGGUAAUACGUAGGGUCCGAGCGUUGUCCGGAAUUAUUGGGCGUAAAGAGCUCGUAGGCGGUUUGUCGCGUCUGCUGUGAAAUCUGGAGGCUCAACCUCCAGCCUGCAGUGGGUACGGGCAGACUAGAGUGCGGUAGGGGAGAAUGGAAUUCCUGGUGUAGCGGUGGAAUGCGCAGAUAUCAGGAGGAACACCGAUGGCGAAGGCAGUUCUCUGGGCCGUAACUGACGCUGAGGAGCGAAAGCGUGGGGAGCGUACAGGAUUAGAUACCCUGGUAGUCCACGCCGUAAACGUGGGCCUAGAUGUGGGGACCUUUCCACGG
This 755-nucleotide ribosomal RNA is filed under the name Agromyces sp. Its description in RNAcentral is "bacterial SSU rRNA". It matches the Rfam family "Bacterial small subunit ribosomal RNA", at positions 73 to 837 of the family's 1533-position model. The record is from RNAcentral. Lineage: Bacteria; Bacillati; Actinomycetota; Actinomycetes; Micrococcales; Microbacteriaceae.